RNAcentral lists this transfer RNA (74 nucleotides) under Actinomycetales bacterium. RNAcentral describes it as "tRNA-Leu". It matches the Rfam family "tRNA". From Rfam's summary of the family: Transfer RNA (tRNA) molecules are approximately 80 nucleotides in length. Their secondary structure includes four short double-helical elements and three loops (D, anti-codon, and T loops). Lineage: Bacteria; Bacillati; Actinomycetota; Actinomycetes; Actinomycetales. The record is from RNAcentral.
GCCCUCGUAGCCCAACUGGCAGAGGCAGCAGACUUAAAAUCUGCUCAGUGCGGGUUCGAAUCCCGCCGGGGGCA